This 396-nucleotide transfer-messenger RNA is filed under the name Cyanobacteria bacterium SIG31. It matches the Rfam family "transfer-messenger RNA". Rfam says of the family: Bacterial tmRNA, also known as 10Sa RNA or SsrA, is named for its dual tRNA and mRNA-like properties. Its role is to liberate the mRNA from a stalled ribosome. To accomplish this part of the tmRNA is used as a reading frame that ends in a translation stop signal. Lineage: Bacteria; Bacillati; Cyanobacteriota. The record is from RNAcentral. RNAcentral also lists the same sequence under 1 other name.
GGGGAUGUACUGGUUUUGACGCUGUGAUCGGUAAAUCCGGGUUGCGAGUCCGAGCGCUGUUCUCGGUUAUCAACGAGCAAAUUAAAACAAACGCUGAAUCAAACGUUGUUUAUGCUAACUUCGGUCGCGAAAGCAGACUAGCUGCCUAAUUGCAGCUAUUAGCCCUCUAGUCCGACCAGCUUGCCGUUUGACUAGAUGAAAUUAUGCAAGACGCAGUACGCAAAUGAUGGUAUGCGUAUCAAGAUUACCAUUGGAGGUUAGGCUUCCGCAAAAAGCCUUUGGAUUAUGUUAGGUUUUGUUAUUUCCCAUCUUAAUCCGAGAUAAUAAGUAACUACACUCGUAGAUAUCAGUUUUUAUCCACAAUGGACGUGGGUUCGACUCCCACCAUCUCCAGUU